RNAcentral lists this ribosomal RNA (429 nucleotides) under bacterium. RNAcentral describes it as "partial 16S ribosomal RNA". It matches the Rfam family "Bacterial small subunit ribosomal RNA", at positions 355 to 776 of the family's 1533-position model. The record is from RNAcentral.
UAGGGAAUCUUCGGCAAUGGGGGCAACCCUGACCGAGCAACGCCGCGUGAGUGAAGAAGGUUUUCGGAUCGUAAAGCUCUGUUGUAAGAGAAGAACGUGUGUGAGAGUGGAAAGUUCACACAGUGACGGUAACUUACCAGAAAGGGACGGCUAACUACGUGCCAGCAGCCGCGGUAAUACGUAGGUCCCGAGCGUUGUCCGGAUUUAUUGGGCGUAAAGUGAGCGCAGGCGGUUUAAUAAGUCUGAAGUUAAAGGCAGUGGCUUAACAAUUGUUCGCUUUGGAAACUGUUAAACUUGAGUGCAGAAGGGGAGGGUGGAAUUCCAUGUGUAGCGGUGAAAUGCGUAGAUAUAUGGAGGAACACCGGUAGCGAAGGCGGCUCUCUGGUCUGUAACUGACGCUGAGGCUCGAAAGCGUGGGGAGCAAACAGG